Molecule: ribosomal RNA, 465 nt
Filed under: uncultured bacterium
Lineage: Bacteria
Description: partial 16S ribosomal RNA
Rfam family: Bacterial small subunit ribosomal RNA
Source: RNAcentral
UCUACGGGGGGCAGCAGUAGGGAAUAUUGCUCAAUGGGGGAAACCCAGAAGCAGCAACGCCGCGUGGAGGAUGAAGGUCUUCGGAUCGUAAACCUCUGUCAGCAGGGAAGAACGGUCACUGUGCUAAUCAGCAGUGAAUUGACGGUACCUGCAAAGGAAGCACCGGCUAACUCCGUGCCAGCAGCCGCGGUAAUACGGAGGGUGCGAGCGUUAAUCGGAAUUACUGGGCGUAAAGCGCUCGUAGGCGGUAUGGCAAGUCAAGGGUGAAAUCCCCGCGCUCAACGUGGGAACUGCCUUUGAAACUGGCAAACUGGAGUGUGUGAGAGGAUAGUGGAAUUCCAGGUGUAGGAGUGAAAGCCGUAGAUAUCUGGAGGAACAUCAGUGGCGAAGGCGACUAUCUGGCACAUAACUGACGCUGAGGAGCGAAAGCGUGGGUAGCAAACAGGAUUAGAUACCCUUGUAGUC